This 435-nucleotide ribosomal RNA is filed under the name uncultured bacterium. Its description in RNAcentral is "partial 16S ribosomal RNA". It matches the Rfam family "Bacterial small subunit ribosomal RNA", at positions 28 to 507 of the family's 1533-position model. The record is from RNAcentral.
AACGAACGCUGGCGGCAGGCUUAACACAUGCAAGUCGAACGCAUGCCUUCGGGCAUGAGUGGUGGACGGGGGAGUAACGCGGGGUAACCUACCCCUUGGUACGGGAUAGCUCCGGGAAACGGGAGAUAAUACAGUAUGUUUCCGGAGGGACAAAGAUGCGUCGCGAAGGGAUGGGGCCGCGUCGGAUUCGCUGGUUGGUGGGGUGACGGCCUACGAAGGCGACGAUCCGUAGAUGGUCUAAGAGGAUGAUCCGACACACUGGCACUGGGACACAGCCCGAACUCCUGCGCGAGGCAGCAGUGCGGAAUCCUGGACAAUCGGCGGCAGCCUGAACCAGCCCUGGCGCGUGAGUGAUGAAGGACGUAGGGUUGUAAAGCUCUUUCAUCGGUGACGCUCAUGACGGUACCCGGAGAAGAAGCCCCGGCUAACUUCGUG